CUGUAUUCUGGUCUCGGUCGAAAGUGCUGCUCUGUGGCAGCAAAUAGCUGCUCGAUACCUGGACCUUUGUUCGGACUGUUUCUGGCUGGUUCGUCACCGAGUUCGACAUCAAGGGGGUCCACCAUUACAGUUGUUGGAACGGUGCACCAGUUCUGGUGUCUGAAGUCACAGGGAAGAUUUUCAAAUCGUGCUCUUGCCGAUCUUGAGUAGGGCCUACUACACGCUGAGGAGGCAUCGUAUCCAAAGUUUCCGGAACUGCCACCUUUGAAGCUUUGACAUCUACUCAACUGCAAUUUAAGAACCUGAAAAGCCAAGACCGUAGAGAUAUACACAGUACAGGCACAUGCAGUAGGUCAAUCCGACAGCUUACUCCAUUACGCUGGAUAAUAUCUCUUCUCGCAUUGCUGGCUUAGCAAUAGAACGAGCUGCAUCCGUGUAGGGUAUGGCUUUUUAAUGGGAAGUCGAUGGCUCGUAACUAUGGGGAUGUACGGUUCAAUCAGGCCCACAACUGCAGGCGUACUAACACGUUUUCAUGAGUACCUAACUCGAAUAGGUGCUCUUUGAAGCGGAAGUCAAGCAACACUUUCACCUCCAAGGUGGUGAAGGAGGAGGCUAUCUGUUUAGGAUUUAGGAGCAAUGUAUCCUAGAGAAACACGUUGGUUAAAAUGUCGUAAAAACCAACGUCAGAAGUAACACCGAAAUCACGUACCAAACAUAUUAUAAGAGUUUGCAAUGUAUUUGUCCUCAUGGAAUUCCGUUUUAGCAAUCCUAUGCAGCCGAUGUCUCAAAAUUAAAUAAAUUUACCUGAAAUACAAUUUUAGGGGUAAACGUAUGAUCAGGGGAUAUAAUUUCGUAUUUUCAUCUCCACUCAUGAGACUCAUUAUAUGCUUUCUUUGGAUACGAUGAAAAAACACGUUUAACGCGCCAAUGUGUUCAUAUGAGAAGAAAGCGAGUUCGAGGAACGCUGCAGUGAGCAUGAACUUGAAAGAUAUUGACGUUUUUAAGGAGAUCUGUCCUGCAGUAAUCACUCGUGUUUACAAUACUUUCUUAUUUAUUUCCAGAGAUUUAUCGCAGCCAAUCACUAGUAGCCGAUCUGAUACGUUCGUGACCCACCAGCCCACUUAUUGAGCCUGGAAAAAGUCUGAAGCCUGGAACUUGAAAGAAGUAAUAAAAAUUGAGACUA
This is a long non-coding RNA of Diprion similis, 1183 nucleotides long. RefSeq lists it as uncharacterized. The record is from RefSeq and is a predicted model, not a curated record. NCBI's taxonomy places the organism in Eukaryota, Metazoa, Arthropoda, Insecta, Hymenoptera, Diprionidae. The transcript is spliced from 3 exons.